Molecule: ribosomal RNA, 494 nt
Filed under: uncultured bacterium
Lineage: Bacteria
Description: partial 16S ribosomal RNA
Rfam family: Bacterial small subunit ribosomal RNA
Source: RNAcentral
AUUGAACGCUGGCGGCAGGCCUAACACAUGCAAGUCGGGCGAUUUUGACUUCGGUCAGAAGAGCGGCGAACGGGUGAGUAACACGUAGGAAUCUGCCUGGUAGUGGGGGACAACGUCUCGAAAGGGACGCUAAUACCGCAUACGCCCUACGGGGGAAAGCCGGGGAUCUUCGGACCUGGCGCUAUCAGAUGAGCCUGCGUCGGAUUAGCUAGUUGGCGGGGUAAAGGCCCACCAAGGCGACGAUCCGUAACUGGUCUGAGAGGAUGAUCAGUCACACCGGAACUGAGACACGGUCCGGACUCCUACGGGAGGCAGCAGUGGGGAAUAUUGGACAAUGGGGGCAACCCUGAUCCAGCCAUGCCGCGUGUGUGAAGAAGGCCUUCGGGUUGUAAAGCACUUUAGGUCGGGAGGAAGGUUCGCUGGCUAAUAUCCAGCGGAAUUGACGUUACCGACAGAAUAAGCACCGGCUAACUCCGUGCCAGCCGCCGCAGUAA